UGUGACACCGUCUGCUUCAAUAUUUCAACACAUGUAACAUGGACGACAUUUAAUUUUCUGAGGAAAUCGAGACAUAUCACUGUCAAUUUACCACAAACAAUCUACUGACUACUUGUAAACCUUUCUGGUGGAAUAUUAUAAUUACAAUUUUCGAAACAA
Long non-coding RNA from Mytilus californianus (California mussel), 159 nucleotides. RefSeq lists it as uncharacterized. Lineage: Eukaryota; Metazoa; Mollusca; Bivalvia; Mytilida; Mytilidae. The transcript is spliced from 2 exons. The record is from RefSeq and is a predicted model, not a curated record.